This 399-nucleotide ribosomal RNA is filed under the name uncultured bacterium. Its description in RNAcentral is "bacterial SSU rRNA". It matches the Rfam family "Bacterial small subunit ribosomal RNA", at positions 361 to 776 of the family's 1533-position model. The record is from RNAcentral.
AUAUUGCACAAUGGACGCAAGUCUGAUGCAGCAACGCCGCGUGCUCGAUGAAGGCCUUCGGGUUGUAAAGGGCUUUUCGGGGAGAUGAGGAAGGACAGUAUCCCCGGAAGAAGGAUCGGCUAACUACGUGCCAGCAGCCGCGGUAAAACGUAGGAUCCGAGCGUUAUCCGAAUUCACUGGGCGUAAAGCGCAUGCAGUCGGCCUGACAAGUUGGAUGUGAAAGCUCCCGGCUCAACUGGGAGAGGACGUACAAGACUGUUAGGCUCGAGGACGGUAGAGGGAGGUGGAAUUCCCGGUGUAGUGGUGAAAUGCGUAGAUAUCGGGAGGAACACCAGAGGCGAAGGCGGCCUCCUGGACCGGACCUGACGCUGAGAUGCGAAAGCUAGGGGAGCGAACGGG